RNAcentral lists this ribosomal RNA (678 nucleotides) under uncultured bacterium. Its description in RNAcentral is "bacterial SSU rRNA". It matches the Rfam family "Bacterial small subunit ribosomal RNA", at positions 92 to 746 of the family's 1533-position model. The record is from RNAcentral.
AAAGCGGCGCACGGGUGAGUAACACGUGGGUAAUCUUCCUUGGAGCCCGGAAUAACUCCCCGAAAGGGGUGCUAAUGCCGGAUGAGACCACGGGAUCUCCGGAUCCUGAGGGAAAAGGCGGCCUCUGUACACAAGCUGUCACUCCAAGAUGAGCCCGCGGCCCAUCAGCUAGUUGGCGGGGUAAUGGCCCACCAAGGCAUCGACGGGUAGCUGGUCUGAGAGGACGAUCAGCCACACUGGAACUGAGACACGGUCCAGACUCCUACGGGAGGCAGCAGUGGGGAAUUUUGCGCAAUGGGCGAAAGCCUGACGCAGCAACGCCGCGUGUGUGAUGAAGGUCUUCGGAUCGUAAAGCACUGUCGGGAGGGACGAAUAAGGCGGCGGCUAAUAUCCGCAGCCGAUGACGGUACCUCCAAAGGAAGCACCGGCUAACUCUGUGCCAGCAGCCGCGGUAAUACAGAGGGUGCAAGCGUUGUUCGGAAUUAUUGGGCGUAAAGCGCGUGUAGGCGGCCUUGCAAGUUGGGUGUGAAAGCCCUCGGCUUAACCGAGGAAGUGCGCCCAAAACUACAGGGCUUGAGUACCGGAGAGGGUGGCGGAAUUCCCGGUGUAGAGGUGAAAUUCGUAGAUAUCGGGAGGAACACCAGUGGCGAAGGCGGCCACCUGGACGGAUACUGACGC